UUCCGGUUGAUCCCGCCGGAGGUCACUGCUAUCGGGGUUCGAUUAAGCCAUGCGAGUCGAGAGGGUUCAGACCCUCGGCGGACUGCUCAGUAACACGUGGAUAAUCUGCCCUAUGGUGGAGGAUAACCCCGGGAAACUGGGGAUAAUACUCCAUAAGUCAGGAGUACUGGAAUGUCUCCUAACUGAAAGUUUCGGCGCCAUAGGAUGAAUCUGCGGCCGAUUAGGUAGUUGUUGGGGUAACGGCCCAACAAGCCCGUAAUCGGUACGGGUUGUGGGAGCAAGAGCCCGGAGAUGGAAUCUGAGACACGAUUCCAGGCCCUACGGGGCGCAGCAGGCGCGAAAACUUUACAAUGCAGAAAACUGUGAUAAGGGAACCCCGAGUGCCCGUACACGCGGGCUGUCCCGGUGUUUAAAACACAUCGGAAGAAAGGGCCGGGCAAGACCGGUGCCAGCCGCCGCGGUAAUACCGGCGGCUCGAGUGGUGACCACUUUUAUUGGGCUUAAAGCGUUCGUAGCUUGAUUUUUAAGUCUCUUGGGAAAUCCCACGGCUUAACUGUGAGGCGUCUAAGAGAUACUGGGAAUCUAGGGACCGGGAGAGGUAAGAGGUACUUCAGGGGUAGAAGUGAAAUUCUGUAAUCCUUGAGGGACCACCGAUGGCGAAGGCAUCUUACCAGAACGGCUUCGACAGUGAGGAACGAAAGCUGGGGGAGCGAACGGGAUUAGAUACCCCGGUAGUCCCAGCCGUAAACUAUGCGCGUUAGGUGUGCCUGUAACUACGAGUUACCGGGGUGCCGAAGUGAAAACGUGAAACGUGCCGCCUGGGAAGUACGGUCGCAAGGCUGAAACUUAAAGGAAUUGGCGGGGGAGCACCACCACGGGUGGAGCCUGCGGUUUAAUUGGAGUCAACGCCGGA
Molecule: ribosomal RNA, 913 nt
Filed under: uncultured compost archaeon
Lineage: Archaea
Description: bacterial SSU rRNA
Rfam family: Archaeal small subunit ribosomal RNA
Source: RNAcentral